GCGCAGGUCAGGGAUUGUCUCCUGCGUGACGGGACCCGAUGGAGAAUAAAUUUAGUCCGCUCGGGAAUGGGCACGGACUAAGCGACCACGGUUCUCAGCUGUAUUACGUCAUUACCUGCGGUUGAGCGAUGCAACCUGACAGAAACUAAUCAAGUGCCUACCAGUGUCAGUAGUCUGUAUAAAUGAAUGAACCUGGGCAUCCCUUGGUGGAUUUCUGUUUUUCAUGUUUCUACCGUCCGUGGAACAUGGAAUCAAACCAGAAUAUGUUGGCAUAACAGGCCGGUCAGACUGGUUCUUCUGUCGAUCCAGAACCCGUCCGACCAGUCUGCAUCAAAGACUAGCCCAACAUGCUGCAGCGGCUCAGUUCUGCAAGACUUGUACUUGUACUGGGCCCCUGCUUUGAAACAUCAGACUCUGCAAGAUGUAGAAUUCACUUUCUCUGCAACUCUUCUACUCAUGUAAUCUGGAACCUGAGCCUCAGUUUGAUCCUCCUGUUUUUUUGUCCUCUGCCUACAGAAGGGUAACUAAGAGUGACAUUGAUAAAUCAUAUGAUAAGUACAUGUUUGAUAAUUAACUACGAAACUCUUUUCCAGACUGG
This is a long non-coding RNA of Ochotona princeps (American pika), 598 nucleotides long. RefSeq lists it as uncharacterized. NCBI's taxonomy places the organism in Eukaryota, Metazoa, Chordata, Mammalia, Lagomorpha, Ochotonidae. The record is from RefSeq and is a predicted model, not a curated record. The transcript has 5 exons.